UAAAAAACAGUCCCGCGCAGACCUCUAUUCCGACGACCCGACCUCUGGACGUGAUGAUGUAGACGCAAAGUAAUCGGUUUAAAGUGUUUACAUGGCAGGAUUUUAAUUUUGUUCGGUUUAUAGAAAGGUUUAUCCCACCCCUCUCAAACCGAUUACAAUUUCAUUCGGUUUGGGCAUUUUUAUUCCGAUUGAGGUGUUUAUAUGGAGCAUUUUCAUUCGGAUUGGACUUUUAAACCGAUUACAGUGCUCCAUGUAAACGCACCUACUGUGUCUCUCGCUGCUGUUUUCAUCGUUUUUAGGAGUAACACUUCUACAACAGAAGAGAAGCUCCAAGAUAUCUAAAUUUCUGAAGGAAGCUGCUGACAGAGAUGUGGGAAACAUAGUUGAGAAGACAUAUUAAGUCUGCACAAAUAUAUUAAAAAAAAAUCCAGCCAACACUGAGAUCAUUCCACAUGUGCACGAGCCUGAGUGACUUCGCAGGAGAAACAGCGCCGCCAUCUUGUCAAGUUCACGAGUCAGGGUGUGGCCAAAGGUUUCAUUGGUGCUUUGUCAUCACUGCAAGAUUUCAGAUGCAACCCAGUCAGUUUUUCCAAGGCACCAAACACCAGACCGCUCCACUGCAACUACAUACUGUGUGUACCUUCAAGACAAGGAGUUCAUUGUUUUCAUUCCAGGUAAUGUGUUUAAAUGUUUAGAGUUUACUACAAUUAAAAUGUGCUUUAUUGUUCUCAGUGGCAUCUACGCUAAUAUUAGUCUGUUUCAUUCUUAUUCCGAGGUCACCAUAGCCACCCAGAUCCAGUCCGUUUCCAGAUCAGAUGGUGGAUCAGCAACUAGAGACGACCUCUACAGCCUUGAAUGUCAGCGGAGAACAUGUCAGCUAGAUGAGCUCCAGAGACAGAUCCCCUCCGAAGACCUCGUUGGCCAUCGUGACAAGACCACCAGACAAGUCCUCUGCUCAAUCUGACCUGUGCAGGAAUUAAACCAUGCCAUGCUGGUUUCGUCUGGCCAGAGGAGAACUGUCCCUCGACUGAACCUGGUUUCUCCCAAGGUUUUCUACUCCGUUUCUGUCACCGAUGGAGUUUUGAGUCCUUGCCGCUGUCGCCUUUGGUUUGCUUAUUUGGGGACGCUUGGCUGAUUGCAUAGACACUAUUGGAAGAGAGCUGAACUGAAUGAUGAUUUCAUUGAAUCAUCAAUGAAUUGACUUUAACUGGAAAAAUGACUUGUUAAUGUUCUCUUGCAUUAUUAACUAUUUUCCUGUUUGACUGUAAAGCUGCUUUGACACGAUCAGUAUUGUAUAAAGUGCAUUAUAAAUAAAGGUGACUUGACUUGAUUUUAUAUACUGUAAUACCUGGUUCAUUUUUUUUUUUUUUCUUUUGUGACUUCUGCCUCAGUUAAAGAUGCGAAUUGUGAACAGUAGUAAUAUUUGUAAAUGUUCGUUUAGGUUUUUCUUAUUUCAUUAAAGUUUAAACUGAAUUUUGUAGUUGUAUUACAGAUGUAUGUUUGUCAGCUGAAGCUUUAAAGGGAUAGUUCACCCAAAAAUUAAAAUUUGCUGUUAAUUUACUGACCCUUAGGCCAUCCCAGAUGUAGGUGACUUUUUUUCUUUAAGCCUGUAUGUUUAGUCUGUAUGACAAAUUUUAUAAAUGGAGAUUGUUAUUAAAUAAUGGCUAUUAUGUGUUGUAAAUUGUGUGUUUGUGAUUGAUAAACACCAGUUAAUCAUUUUUAAUAAUUUUGUUAAACUAUAAAAAUAUAUGU
This is a long non-coding RNA of Onychostoma macrolepis, 1752 nucleotides long. RefSeq lists it as uncharacterized. Lineage: Eukaryota; Metazoa; Chordata; Actinopteri; Cypriniformes; Cyprinidae. The transcript has 4 exons. The record is from RefSeq and is a predicted model, not a curated record.